This 409-nucleotide ribosomal RNA is filed under the name uncultured bacterium. RNAcentral's name for it is "bacterial SSU rRNA". It matches the Rfam family "Bacterial small subunit ribosomal RNA", at positions 29 to 480 of the family's 1533-position model. The record is from RNAcentral.
AGCGAACGCUGGCGGCAGGCUUAACACAUGCAAGUCGAGCGGGCGUAGCAAUACGUCAGCGGCAGACGGGUGAGUAACACGUGGGAACGUACCUUUUGGUUCGGAACAACACAGGGAAACUUGUGCUAAUACCGAAUAAGCCCUUACGGGGAAAGAUUUAUCGCCGAAAGAUCGGCCCGCGUCUGAUUAGCUUGUUGGUGAGGCAACGGCUCACCAAGGCGACGAUCAGUAGCUGGCUGAGAGGAUGAUCAGCCACACUGGGACUGAGACACGGCCCAGACUCCUACGGGAGGCAGCAGGUGGGGAAUAUUGGACAAGUGGGGGCAACCCUGAUCCAGCCAUGCCGCGUGGGUGAUGAAGGCCCUAGGGUUGUAAAGCUCUUUUGUGCGGGAAGAUAAUGACGGUACCG